This is a long non-coding RNA of Lycium barbarum (goji berry), 2966 nucleotides long. RefSeq lists it as uncharacterized. The record is from RefSeq and is a predicted model, not a curated record. The transcript is spliced from 3 exons. NCBI's taxonomy places the organism in Eukaryota, Viridiplantae, Streptophyta, Magnoliopsida, Solanales, Solanaceae.
AAAACUCAUCAAUUUCACAAGUCUAAUUCUUACAAGUCAUUGAAAAAAAUAUCAAAGUUCAUAGAAAAAAUGUCUCAAAAUGCUUCAACUGUUAGGGUUUCAUUAUUUUGGGAUGGAGAUAUCGUUAAGGAUAAUUACUCCGUUCGUUAUAAUAUCAAACCAAAAGCCCAUGUUAAAUUUCGAACAACUUUAAAUUAUGAAACACUAGUCAGUUACUUGCAUAAAAGAAUGAAAACUAUACCCACUUAGUUUGGAAUCUCAAUAACAGGCAGAUAUCCACAAAAAAUAUCAAACAGUGUAGUGCGUUAUGGCAUGCACAAUAUCAACGACGAUGAAUCUUUGAGUGAUUAUUUGGGAUCGCCGGAAGAAUAUAAUGAUUUAGUAUCCAUUAAUGUUCUUGAGAUGUAUGUUGAAAAGAUACCUCGAGAAGAAGUCCCUCCAGUCCAGCCUAUUCAUGGUAACACUAUUGGGGACUUUAGUUCUUAUGGAGCCAUUUUGAGUGGUCAAGUGUCGCUCAAAAAUCUAAGCCAGCAAUUUAAUCAAGCUUAUGAAAAUUGGUAAAUAUGCAUUUUUAUAUUAUUAUUGUGUGUAGUAGCACGUGUUUGUUGUAUGAAUCGGUAAAUAACCAUUUUUCAAAUCUUUAUAGGAACUAUUCUCAAAACUCGCCAGUGGUACCAAAUAGGGAUGUUGGUGAAUCCUCUCAGUUCGGUGGAGUUGAUCAUUCUCCACACCAUGACAAUGCUUAUGAACAACAGAGGAGGAAUGCACUUGAUAAUGAAGAUUUUCCAAAUUAUUAUGAGUCAUCAUCAAGUGAUGACGAUGAAAUAGCUAAUAAUAUAGAGGUAACCGAUGAUGAUGAUGUUCAAGUUGGUAUGACCAAAAAUAUUCCUCAAAGUCAAAACCAACAAAAACCAAUGCACCACCACGUACCACCACCGAUGGCGGAAAGCCCAACUUUUGAAAGCCCAAUCAGUGGCAUUCUAACAAUAGUGCUUAUCUUGACAGCCUGCAAGGUCGUGAUGAUGCAUUUGUCUUCACAAGAUAAGAUGAUCAUAGACGCCUAAAAACCUGGAUUGAACCAAAGGAUCUCAACAGAGAUCAAUGCUACCUUGCAAAAGGAAUGUUGUUCGCAUUCAAAAAGGCGUUGCAACGGGCUGUCAAAAUUUAUUGUUUUAAGGACAUAAGGGAGUUUAAGGUUGAUCAGUCAAACACAAAGAUAUGGAGGAUAGUUUGUAGACGACGGUAUCAAGGCUGUGAGUGGUUGCUUCGGGGAAUUGUCAAGCCUGAUGGUAUGUGGGCUAUCACAAAUUCCGCCAAAAACACACUUGUGAUAUGGAAGACAAUCGAGCAGAUCAUUAUAAUUUAGAUACAAACAUGAUUGCUCAAGUGUUACUUAAAGACGUUGCCGCAACGCCAAGGAUCCGCAUCAAAGAUUGCAUUAGAAACGUUCAAACCGCAUAUGGUAAAACUAUAAGCAACAGAAAGGGAUUUCUCGGGUGUAGACGCGCUUUUGAGAUGAUCUUUGGAAAUUGGCAUACCUCUUUUCAAUCGCUGCCAAGGUAUGUGGAGGCUCCGCAACAUUUUAAUGCUGGUACUGUUGUAGAGUGGCGGCUUAUAGAGGUUAAAAUUUUCAACUUCGUAUUUUGGACAUUCAAACCAUGUAUUGUUAGGUUUGCUCACUGCCGGCCAGUGAUAUCCAUAGAUGGCACACAUGUAUAUGGUGCAUACGACAUCAAGCUCCUAAUUGCAGUAGGAAUGGAUGCCAAUGGGUCAAUAUUCCCUCUUGCUUUCGCAAUUGUCGCUAACGAGAGCAACGACACAUGGGGGUCUUUUUGACCCAUUUGAAGACUCAUGUUAUUAAGGAUCGUACGGGCAUAUGUGUGCUGUCUGAUCGUCAUAAAGGCAUAUUGCACAAUAUGGAUAAUUUACCGGGGUGGCAAUCUCCCCUUGUUUACUAUCGCUAUUGUUUAAGGCACUUGAAGGAAAAUUUACAAUCAAAGUUUCACAAUGACACUCUAAACAAAUUGAUGUGGGGGGCUGCGAUGGAGCAUCAACAAAGAAAAUGGGCUGAAAAAAUGGAUCUGAUCAGGGCAGUUAGUGAACCCACAUACGUUUGGUUGAUGAAGCUAGAAAUUGAAAAAUGGACGCUUCAUGCUGAUGGUGGCAAAAAAGAGGGCAUGCUCACAACAAACAGCUCAGACCAAUGGCUUGCUGAAAUCUGCUCGGGGACUACCUGUCACCGCAAUGGUGAGAAUGACUUUCAAGCAGGUUGUGGAGCGAUUUGUGGUUAGGACAAGGCAGGACGGAGCAAUAUUAGCCGAAGGCGGGACAUGGAUGUCAAAGCCCUCCAAUAAGAUGGAGCAUUAUAGAAAAAAAUGUUAGCUUCACCAAAUGACCGAGCAUGACCCCAUUCAAUGUGUGUAUGAAGUUAGGACGGGUUAUUACAAUUAUAAGGGUGUAAACAUGCAUACCGUUUAUGAGGCAACAAGAACAUGCACUUGUGGUAAGUGAUAAACGUACCACAUACCGUGUUCUCAUGCUGUAAAGUGCUUCGAGAGAAUGAAAAAAACGGUAACAAGUUAUGUGGCGGGGAAAUACAAGGUCCACAGUGACCUUAGAGUAUAUUCCGGCUAAUUCCACCCACUUGGUAAUGAAGCUUAUUGGCCAAACGAGCCAUUUUCGAUGGUUGCUAACAAGGAUUACAUCAGGAAAUUGGGCAUUUACUCACGGAGUCGUAGACCCAAUCAAAUGGAUGUUAGUGAAAGAACUUACUCUCGCAAGUGCUCUACAUGUAAGCAAUAUGGCCAUGACAAGCGUUCGUGUGGGCAACAAGGCCGUGGUGGUACAAGCACGUCUCGAAGUAAUAGAAACUCUAGAACUUGAAGAUUGUAUUGUUACUGUAAUUUAGUAUUGUAUUGCAUUGAAUUAGUAUUGUAAUUUAAUGGAAUGAAUUAUUUUGGAAUAAG